GGAGAGGGGGUAGAAAGGUGCCCCAGUACAGUAUAAAAGGUGGGAGGCAUCUCAAGCACAUCACUUGGCUUAUUCUGGAACCAACCAUGAAGGGCGUCAAGGCGGUGAUCCUGUGUAGCCUUCUCGCGACGGCUUUGGCUGGCAAGUUUCGUGGCUCCGGCACAUACGGAGGGGGUGGUUCCUACGGAGGCGGUGGUUCCUACGGAGGCGGUUUAGGAGGCGGUGUCAACGGAGGCGGUUUAGGAGGCGGUUUAGGAGGCGGUGUCAACGGAGGCGGUUUAGGAGGCGGUUUAGGAGGCGGUGUCAACGGAGGCGGUUUAGGAGGCGGUGUCCACGGAGGCGGCUUAGGAGGCGGUUUAGGAGGCGGUUUAAGUGGUGGUUUGGGUGGUGGUCUCGGUCGUCCGGGUGGUGGUCUCGGUCGUCCGGGUGGUGGUCUAAGACCGGGUUCUCGUGGGCCAAGCACUUGCAGGUACUGGUGCACCACUCCGGAGGGUAAACAGUACUGCUGCGAGGAUAAGAAUGAACCAGAGAUACCUGUUGGCACCAAACCACUGGAUUGCCCACAAGUCCGUCCCACAUGGCACGGUUCCAAGGACCCCCCGUAACCUGUUCCCACGACUUCAAGUGUGCUGGCCUCGAUAAGUGUUGCUUCGACAGGUGUUUGGGAGAACACGUGUGCAAGCCUCCUUCUUUCUACGGAAGGAACUGUGUAAGAGAUGAUAGAUAACAAACCAACUGACAGACAACCGAUGAUUUGGAAUUUAGGACCACGAAUGUUCAAUCUACUGUUAUGUCAAGUACCAAGCAAUCUGAGAGUACUAUUAUCUGUAAAAAAUAAAUAAACAAAUAAUAAAUGUAACAGGGAAUGAACUACUCCUUUCUGUUUAUUUAGUUGAAUCUUUGUUUAUAUCAAAAGAAACUUAGAAUGAAG
Penaeus monodon (black tiger shrimp) is the source of this 931-nucleotide RNA transcript. It is a transcript of the gene named acanthoscurrin-1-like, with no coding region annotated. The record is from RefSeq and is a predicted model, not a curated record. Lineage: Eukaryota; Metazoa; Arthropoda; Malacostraca; Decapoda; Penaeidae. The transcript is spliced from 2 exons.